Molecule: long non-coding RNA, 101 nt
Organism: Xenia sp. Carnegie-2017
Lineage: Eukaryota; Metazoa; Cnidaria; Anthozoa; Malacalcyonacea; Xeniidae
Exons: 3
Source: RefSeq, a predicted model, not a curated record
UAUUGUUUUAAAAUAUGUUAGUGAUGUAUAUAAAGGCACCAAUAGUCUUAUUAUACUUGAUGACUGUGCGAGUUGCUUAGAUACUUGAUGACUGUGCAAAU